This 223-nucleotide ribosomal RNA is filed under the name uncultured bacterium. Its description in RNAcentral is "partial 16S ribosomal RNA". It matches the Rfam family "Bacterial small subunit ribosomal RNA", at positions 97 to 334 of the family's 1533-position model. The record is from RNAcentral.
GGCGGACGGGUGAGUAAUACAUAGGAAUCUGCCCAUGUAGUGGGGGACAACCUGGGGAAACUCAGGCUAAUACCGCAUAAGCCCUACGGGGGAAAGGCUUCGGCCGCUAUUGGAUGAGCCUAUGUCUGAUUAGCUUGUUGGUGGGGUAAUGGCCUACCAAGGCGACGAUCAGUAGCUGGUCUGAGAGGACGAUCAGCCACACUGGGACUGAGACACGGCCCAG